UUGAAAUUUUGAAAAAAAAAGGCAUUUUCUGUUCAAAAUAUAUUGUGAGGAAAUGAAGACCAAAUAAUUCAAAUAUUGGAGUUAUUUGCAGUCAAUGCAGAAGAAAUUGAGAAAAUUGUAUAUCAAUAUAAUACAGUUCACCUUGUCCAAUGGAAAAAUCAAGAGGAUACCGUAUCGUUUUGGACUGAGGUCAAUAAGCAUAUGGAUUCUGCGGGCAACAAUUUGAAAGUUUGUCUUUAUUUGCAAUAAAUUUACUCUCGUUGCCAUGGUCGAACGCCGAAGUCGAGCGGGUGUUUAGCCAAGUUAAUUUGGUCAAAACAACGCUAAGAAACAGGCUUCAUAUUGAUACAUUAAAUUCGAUUUUGACAGUUAGGCUCGGAUCACGUCGACGUGGCACAUGUUGCCAAAAUUAUCAACUUCCCGAUAAAUAUUUGAGUAUGAUCGGAACAAAUGAGACGGAUGUUGAUAACGAAACUUUUGACUCAGUUUUAUAUAAUUUAAAUGAAAAUAUAUAAAAAUUUAUUGAA
This is a long non-coding RNA of Drosophila mojavensis, 527 nucleotides long. RefSeq lists it as uncharacterized. The transcript has 2 exons. Lineage: Eukaryota; Metazoa; Arthropoda; Insecta; Diptera; Drosophilidae. The record is from RefSeq and is a predicted model, not a curated record.